GAUGAACGCUGGCGGCGUGCUUAACACAUGCAAGUCGAACGAAGAAUCCGUUUUCGGAUGGAUUCUGAGUGGCGGACGGGUGAGUAACGCGUGAGGAACCUGCCUCGGAGUGGGGAAUAACAGUUGGAAACGACUGCUAAUACCGCAUGAUGCAGCUGAGCCACAUGGCUCUACUGCCAAAGAUUUAUCGCUCUGAGAUGGCCUCGCGUCUGAUUAGCUAGUUGGUGAGGUAACGGCCCACCAAGGCAACGAUCAGUAGCCGGACUGAGAGGUCGGCCGGCCACAUUGGGACUGAGAUACGGCCCAGACUCCUACGGGAGGCAGCAGUGGGGAAUAUUGGGCAAUGGGCGAAAGCCUGACCCAGCAACGCCGCGUGAAGGAAGAAGGCUUUCGGGUUGUAAACUUCUUUUAUUCAGGACGAUAAUGACGGUACUGAAUGAAUAAGCUCCGGCUAACUACGUG
This 462-nucleotide ribosomal RNA is filed under the name uncultured organism. RNAcentral describes it as "bacterial SSU rRNA". It matches the Rfam family "Bacterial small subunit ribosomal RNA", at positions 28 to 507 of the family's 1533-position model. The record is from RNAcentral.